RNAcentral lists this ribosomal RNA (503 nucleotides) under uncultured bacterium. RNAcentral's name for it is "bacterial SSU rRNA". It matches the Rfam family "Bacterial small subunit ribosomal RNA", at positions 21 to 518 of the family's 1533-position model. The record is from RNAcentral.
GGCUCAGGAUGAACGCUAGCGGCAGGCUUAACACAUGCAAGUCGAGGGGCAUCGGGAGUAGCAAUACUUGCCGGCGACCGGCGCAAGGGUGCGUAACGCGCGAGCAACAUGCCCGUAUCAGGGGGAUAAUCCAUGGAAACGUGGUCUAAUACCCCAUAGUAAUUAUGUAAGGCAUCUUAUAUAAUUUAAAGCUUUGGUGGAUACGGAUUGGCUCGCGUGACAUUAGCUAGAUGGUAAGGUAACGGCUUACCAUGGCUACGAUGUCUAGGGGUUCUGAGAGGAAGGUCCCCCACACUGGAACUGAGACACGGUCCAGACUCCUACGGGAGGCAGCAGUGAGGAAUAUUGGACAAUGGAUGGAAAUCUGAUCCAGCCAUGCCGCGUGCCAGGAAGACGGCCCUAUGGGUUGUAAACUGCUUUUGUAUGGGAGCAAUAAGGGCUACGUGUAGUCCGAUGAGAGUACCAUACGAAUAAGCACCGGCUAACUCCGUGCCAGCCGCAGC